AGAUGUGCAGAGAGUAGGCCCCUUGCAAUAUAUGUGGUACAUUCCACUUGUGCCAGAUUGUUAGCUGGGAUCUUUAAAUAUUCUGAGCUUACACUGCAAAGUCGUUUUUUCUCUCAGAGUCUGGAAAGAGCAGUGAAAGAAAAGAUGGUCGAUCGCGUUCCCAUUCCCAUUCACGUUCAGAAUCCAGAUCUAGUUCAAAAUCUCGAAGAAAAAGAUCACACUCAAAACGCAGGAGUAGAUCCCGUGAUAGAUCACGCUCUAGUCAAAAGGACAGACGCAGAUCCAAAAGUCCUCUCCCAAAGCGUUCAAAGUCUAAAGAAGAUCGCCGAAGAUCAAGAAGCAGUUCUCCUCCUCGGUGAGAUUCCUAUAAUUACGGCUAUUACAUAUUUUUGAUAUCACCAAACACUAAGAGGCUUAGGACUAAUCCUAAAACUUAAAUUUAAUAGUACAUCUUGCUAUUGAAUUAUAAUUGCAUGUUAUCCAGCUGUAUAUACAAACGGCAUGAAUAGCAGUUAGCAUAAUAUCAUUUUUGUUUACUGAUUUUUCUAUCUGCUAUUUUGUAAUUUUUCUGCCAUCAGUACUCGGUGCAACUUGUUAAAGGACAAUUUUGGAAUUAAGUUUACUUGACUUGUGCUCUCUUACAGUAAUGUUAGGAAAGCUGAAUUAAUAAAUAUUUUCUUUUCUCAGGGAGAAGAGGAAAGAAAGCAAAGAGAGGAUUAGAGAAAAAGAAAAGAUUAGAGAGAGAGACAGAGAUAAAGAAAAAGAGAAGGAUAGAGAUCAAGAAAAGGAUAAGGGCAAGGAAAAAGAGAGAGGCAGAGAAAAAGAGAGAGGGAGAGAGAGGGAGAAGGAGAAGACCAAGGAUAGAGACAAGGACCGAAUGAAAGAUAGGGAGAAGGAGCGAGAAAAAGACAAAGAGAAGGAGAAGGACAAAGAAAAAGAGAAGGAGAAAGCAGCAGAUAUGGAAAAAGAAAAGAGAGAAGAUUUGGACAAAGAAGGAGAAAAAGAAAAGGAGAGAGAGACAGAAGGAGACAAAGAGAAGGAUGACAAAGAACACGUCAAAGAAAAGGAGGAAGACAAAGGAAAGGAGGAAGAAAAGGACCAUGAAAGAGAUAAAGAAGGAGAGAAAGCAAAAGACAAAGAAAGAGACAGAGACCGAGAAAGAGAUGAAAAAAAGAAAAAGGAGAAGAGAUCUAAAACACCUCCUAGAAGUUAUAGUUCCUCAAGAAGAUCACGUAGUUGUAGCAGAGAUCGAAGGAAGAGGAAGAGCCGAAGUCCUUCAAAGUCUCCCAGAUCAUCCAAAGUCACAAAAAGGAAAUCAUCUCGGUCUCCAUCUCCAAGGAGGUAAGUGCAUUGAUUUAUCAUGCAGAGCUUUUGUAUUGUUCAGGCUCUUCUGCAGUACAUGCCUCUCAUUAACAGCAAGUAGAUUAAUGCAAAAAGAAACGCCGAACAAAGAAGAAACAGGAAACAUAUAUUUGGCUUUUCUUCUUUGAUUAAUAAUACCUUCAAUAUUUUUUUUUCCUUUGAAAUGGAGAAUUCAUUUUGAAAAUAAUUUUUAGUAGCAGUUGCCUGACUGGAAGUUGAAAAAAACACCUUAGAAAAAAAGGCGGUGAUAAAACAGUUAUUUAAAGACUGCAGAGGAAACAUGUUUGAACUUGGCUUAAGGCAGCCUUUAGCCUAAUUGUCGCUAUUGGAGCUUGCUGCAGUGCAUCCUAAAAGGAUUAAUAAGGUGCAGGAUUUUUUCGUUUGAUGGAUACACUGUUUUUUACUGCUGUUGUAAGCUGCCCAUAGUUGUUUAAGAUGGCCAGCCAUACAAAUCUUCUAGAUCAAUCAAUCAAUAAAUAAACAAACUUUAAGAUGAUUUAAAUAUUC
RNAcentral lists this long non-coding RNA (1869 nucleotides) under Notechis scutatus (mainland tiger snake). RNAcentral describes it as "lncRNA (ENSNSUG00000006732.1)". Lineage: Eukaryota; Metazoa; Chordata; Lepidosauria; Squamata; Elapidae. The record is from RNAcentral.